Molecule: long non-coding RNA, 1679 nt
Organism: Ictalurus punctatus (channel catfish)
Lineage: Eukaryota; Metazoa; Chordata; Actinopteri; Siluriformes; Ictaluridae
Source: Ensembl
AUUUAUUAUGGAAUAUUGCAUAUUGCAUCUUGAAACUAAAAAUAAAAACAUUAUGGAAUAUAAAAUUUGUUAUAUUCUGAAACUGACUUUAAAAAGCUCAGUAUUCUUUAUCAGCACGCUUUCAAAUUUUAAAAGCAUGCUUUUCAUUAACCAAUUAUCCCAACUAUUCCCAAAUUAGAUAUUUAAACAGAAUUAAAUUAACAUUCAGUCACACACACACAAAUUAGUAAUGGGGCAACCUAAACCUUAAAGCCCAAAAACAAAAAGGAUUUGUUUAUAACAUCCAUUAGGAUUUUAUUCACUAAGUGCACAAAUCAACUAAAGUGCCUGUACACAGUGUUCCGUGAAUUACCUGUGUUGUUCAAAUGUAUUUCAUCCACUGGCACCAGUGGCUACGAUAUAUUAUAAUAAAUUUCCCCCCUUAACCUGCAGUAUAUGUAAUUAUAAAACCAAUACCUGUUUAGGACAUGUGAAUUAUGGUUGUUUCAUUUUUAUUCACAAAUAUAACCGCAUGAGUUACAGGUUACAAAUCUAACAUGUCAAUUACACUCAUGAUCUGUUUCUAUAGACAAUGCAAUAUUAUGAACCAUGAUUAUGGUUUAUUGAAGAUGCAGCCUGGUGAUACUGCAUGCAUCUUUCUGGACACCACUGUGACUGGUCAGUACAACAAAUCAAAGGUUGACAUUGUGAUUGGUCUAUCGAGCGGCCAAUUAAACACUUAAACUCUUGUUGAGUCAUGGCCAUUAUGAACAGAAAUAUGGUGCUUCAGGAUACUGGACACAGGAUUUGCUCCUUUCUUGGUUUGUCCACAUCAGACAGAGAAAGAAAGGAAAUAAGAGGAUACAUUAAGUUUGAUGUCAUGAAGGCAAAUCCUAUGACAAACCUCACAGCUGAUCCACUAACUUCAGUAUCUCUCGAUUCCUGUGUACAGGUAAGUUUACAAAUAGACACAUUAAGCGAUUCAUUCGUUUCAUUGACUGUAUCUCAACACAUUUUAUAUAAUGCCUGGGACUGGAAGGAUCACUUCAAUUUGUCCCAAAAUAAGCAGUCUGAUCAACACUACAAGAAGAAAAUAAAGAAAACGUUACAGGGAGGUGGUUUGUUAAGAAAAGCAAGAAAAGGAAAACAGUCACCUGUGAAAUUAAAACUGUCUUGUCUUGUUAAAAAUAACAAAUAAUUAAAAAAAGACAUUAAAAAUUUUCUCAUCAGUUUUAAUCAAAACCAUACUGAGGCAUCAGCCCAAAAAUACAUAGCCAUGGGGAAUAAAAGAGAACAUGUUUCAGUUUGAAAAGAAAAUGAUGGGACUCACAUUUGCUUUGUAAGCAUGCUGACACAAAAUACAUGUAUACGGCACUAGGACACGUUCAUAAAAUACGAAUUCAUAAAAUACAAAUAACAACUACAAUGCCAUCAAUAAGAGACUAAAAGCCAACCCAAUAUGAGUGGGAUGGGGGAGUUCAAGACAUCAUUAUGGCACUUCAUUGGAUCAUAUGACAGCACAAAUAAGACAUUUAAUUGAGCAGGUACAUUCAGUUACACAAUCACAUAUUGACCAGAAUGUGGAAACUCAAACUGGUCAUUAUAUUUUCACAGUUGUGAUCCUCCCAGCAUUCUACUCAAGAGAAUAGGAGAAAUGCUAACAUUGUUAGGGAAGAUACCUUAAUACAGGGAAAAAAGUU